UGCAGUAUUGACGCUGGAUGUAACAGGUGGUGAUGGCGCAGUUGUAGUUGUAGUUUCUAAACACAAAUAUUAUUAAAAUAUAAAUAUUGUAUAAGGUAUAUAAUAAAAUAUUAAUAUUAUAAAAUAGGAAAUGGAAAAUUAUAGAAUAAGAAUAAGGUCGACUGGAACAGGUACUCGUGAUAUACGAAUGCUCGGACAACUCGAUGUUUUCGAACAGUUCGACAGAUCAUGAUGGUGGAGUAAUUUACAUAGAAGAUAAAACGUAAGUCUCUGGCAAAUAAAGAAUCAUAUGGACUUGUCGGGCGAUUAGACAUUAAACUACAUAGAGACAGUGUGAGGCAGACUCGCGAGGCUGCUAAGGAUUGUCGGUUUUUUGACGAGAUCAAAGGUGCCUCGCAGUUUUAACUAUGUAAUCUACAUGCAGACAGUGCGAGGAACGCACAUAGCUUUUAUACGUAGCUUUAUAGCGUCACUUUGAAUUCAUCGAGCAAAGAUUCGUAGGUGUCAGAUAUCAAUGCAGAUGUUAAUUUCAUCCCCAUAAAUAUCGCAUAGAAAGAUUCACUUCUACAUUAAUUACGAUACAUGUAUGUACGUAUAUUAAAAACAAGCGACAGAAAUCAAUUAAAAAUCAAUUUUUCUAUAUUUCACUAUUAACGUGUUAUUGCAAAUGUUAACGAACGAUUGAAAAUGGUAGAAUUAAGGGAACGAAUAGUAUAACGAAUUACAUUAAACGAAUAAACUUUCGCGUUCUUCUCUGUA
Long non-coding RNA from Bombus terrestris (buff-tailed bumblebee), 759 nucleotides. RefSeq lists it as uncharacterized. The record is from RefSeq and is a predicted model, not a curated record. Lineage: Eukaryota; Metazoa; Arthropoda; Insecta; Hymenoptera; Apidae. The transcript has 2 exons.